UACCACUGCACUCCAGCCUGGGUGACAGAGAUCAGUCUCAAAAAAAUAUUUUAAAAAUCUAGGUCAAGCUCCUGAGUCUGCAAAGUAGAGGACCAGACCUGGGUGCGGGGGAAUUUAUAUUCUAAGGCUAUUAGCGUGAAGCAGGCAGGACCUGUAUUUAUUAUUCUUUAUAUUAAAGUGUCUGAUCCAUAGUAGACAUUUGACUGAAUGAAUUCAUUCAGUAUCUGAAUGAAUGAAAAUUCUCCUUUCUCAAGCUUCUUAGAAAUCACUCUGCUGACUCUCCUGGUGAUAUCAAUCACAUCACACAGAGUUUCCUUUUUACUUCUUGAGAAAUUACUGCUGCCUGAAGCCAUCAUGAGCAUUUAUUCAUCUGCAUAUUGCCUACCUCCCCAAAUUGAAUGUAUGCUCCGUGGUUGUGGAGAGCAAGUCUAUCUGGAAUCCUUAGAGCUCCUUGGUGUCUAGAACAGCACCUGGCAUUCAAGAAAUGCUUAUCCAGUGAGUAACUAUGCUCAAGUGAACAUCUCCCUCCCAAUCCAUUCCUCCUCUACUUCCAUUCAAGCAGUUCAGUUCAGGGCCCUGACUUGAGCAUAUGAUCUUUCCUUUUCAGAACAUCAAAUCUAAUUCAGCACCUAUUUUAACAUAUUUGAAAAUAACAUUUUUAACAGGUGACAAUACAUCAGGCAGCUGAAGAAAACCUACCUACAUAUCUUAAAUCUUUUUACUUACUGGUACCAAUGCACUUCGCAUGAGUAUGUAUCACAUUAUUAAUAAACUGAAAUGUCAUUGUUACAUAAAACCUCUUUGUGCUGCAUCCAGAACUUCAGUGACAGUUUGGGUGAAAUGACAUAAUACAUAUAUCGUAUCCAGUGAUCGUGCAUCUUUUUCACAAAAGUGGAGGCAAUAGCAGAGAAUAUAGAACUUGAUAUUUAAAAUAUGAACAGUAGUAACAUUCACAGGGCCUCUUUCUACAACCACACAGAGCUGUUUCCAAGCAGGAACGUUUCUGAAGUCCCUUACUGCAUACUUUCAUCCUCUAUGGAGCAGUGGUAGUGUAAGCCUUAUUGUUAAAUGGUCACUAAUUGGUAAUACUCAACUUUAAAAAA
Molecule: long non-coding RNA, 1103 nt
Organism: Sapajus apella (tufted capuchin)
Lineage: Eukaryota; Metazoa; Chordata; Mammalia; Primates; Cebidae
Exons: 2
Source: RefSeq, a predicted model, not a curated record